RNAcentral lists this ribosomal RNA (867 nucleotides) under Triticum aestivum (bread wheat). RNAcentral's name for it is "partial small subunit ribosomal RNA". Lineage: Eukaryota; Viridiplantae; Streptophyta; Magnoliopsida; Poales; Poaceae. The record is from RNAcentral.
AUGGAGGACGGGGACAUCGACUUUGUCGUCGCCAAGAGCCCCGUCCUGGAGACCCUCAACAUCCAUGGAUGCAACAAGGGGCUGCGCCUUCGCCUCGUCAGCCAGAGCCUCCGCUGCGUCCAAAUUUGCAGCUCUGUUCUCGAGGACAUUGCCGUGGUGAAGGCUCCUCGCCUCGAGCGGCUCAUCCUGGAGGGCUUUCGGAGCAACGCCGUUGUCUUGUGCACCAGAGUCAGGAUUGGCGACGCUCCCAAGCUACACGCGUUAGGAAUCUUGGAGCCAGGGAGCACCAUACUAGAGAUCCGAGACACCAUCGUCGUGCCCGGGAUAAAGGCGAGCCCAAGCACCAUGGCCACCGGCAUCAAGGUCCUGAGUCUGAAUGUGCGUUUCGGAAACCACACGGAUGCCAAGAUGGUUCCCUCCUUCCUCGGCUGCUUUCCCAAUUUGGAGGCACUGCACAUUAUUUCUGAAAAAUGUGAUCAUCAAGCUGGCAGUGCCAGGAUGAACCGCAGCUUCUGGAAGCAGACCAAGCCCACUGAAAGUGUCAAGUCGUGUAUCAAGGUGUUCUCUUACAGAGAAUUCCGAGGGGAGCUUGGGGAGGUUGCCUUCCUCAAGUUCUUCUUUCGGAACGCGAGGGCGCUGAGGACUGCGUCCAUCUCCAUGGCUAACCAGAGCUUCACGACAUUCUCGAUGGAUGAGGCAACUCGUAAAGCACAGGAAGCUUCUAACAACAUGGCCAGCAGGUCCUGCGAAAUGGUGCUUCUCGGGAGCACAGGUCCUGAAGGAGGUAGCCCCUGGAGCUUCAAGAGAGGGACGGAUUACUCCUUUGAUGACCCUUUCUCAGCGGUGCAGAUCCACAACAUAGCUUAA